RNAcentral lists this ribosomal RNA (253 nucleotides) under uncultured bacterium. Its description in RNAcentral is "partial 16S ribosomal RNA". It matches the Rfam family "Bacterial small subunit ribosomal RNA", at positions 524 to 776 of the family's 1533-position model. The record is from RNAcentral.
UACGAGGGUGGCGAAUGUUGCCCGGAUUCACUGGGCGUAAAGCGUCGGUAGGAGGCUUGUCAAGUUAGGUGUGAAAUCCCCGUGCUCAACAUGGGAAUGGCACUUAAAACUGGCUGGCUAGAAGGUAAGAGAGGAUGGCGGAAGGACUGGUGUAGAGGUAAAAUUCAUAGAUAUCAGUCGGAACACCCAUGGCGAAGGCAGCUAUCGGGCUUAUUCUUGACUCUGAGCGACGACAGCGUGGGGAGCAAACAGG